This 447-nucleotide long non-coding RNA is filed under the name Pogona vitticeps (central bearded dragon). RNAcentral's name for it is "lncRNA (ENSPVIG00000004535.1)". The record is from RNAcentral. Lineage: Eukaryota; Metazoa; Chordata; Lepidosauria; Squamata; Agamidae.
AUGGCUAACUUUCAAAUGUUUAAAAAGUGCUAUCCUAUAUCCCCUCAGACUUUUAGUUCAAGAAGAGCUUCAUUCAUUUGUUUGUUCGUCCAUUUGUUCAUUUGUUCGUUCGUUCGUUCAUUUGUUCGUUCGUUCGUUCGUUCAUUCAUUCGUUUGUUUGUUUGUUUGUUUGUUUGUUCCUUCCUUCCUUCCUUCCUUCAUUCCUUCCUUCUGUUUGUUCUUGAUAAUGUAGGCACAUACUUAAAGAACAGGCAUUCAAAGACCUCACAGAUCCUACAAAAUGGGAGGUGGGAUGCUACAAUUUCAGGUCCAAUUUAUUCAUUCACCACACGGAGGAUCAUAAGCCAUGGAGAGGAGGUAGAGGGAAAUGGACACAACUUUGCUCUUCAAGUCCUUGUUCCCACUGGCAACAUCCUCCAGGGCUUGACAUAUUCAGGGACAUUUUGA